UACGUAGGGUGCGAGCGUUAAUCGGAAUUACUGGGCGUAAAGCGUGCGCAGGCGGUUUUGUAAGCCAGAUGUGAAAUCCCCGGGCUUAACCUGGGAAUGGCAUUUGGGACUGCAAGGCUCGAGUGCGGCAGAGGAGACUGGAAUUCCUGGUGUAGCAGUGAAAUGCGUAGAUAUCAGGAGGAACACCAGUGGCGAAGGCGGCGAUCUGGGAAGAUACUGACGCUGAGGUGCGAAAGCGUGGGGAGCAAACAGG
RNAcentral lists this ribosomal RNA (253 nucleotides) under uncultured bacterium. RNAcentral's name for it is "partial 16S ribosomal RNA". It matches the Rfam family "Bacterial small subunit ribosomal RNA", at positions 524 to 776 of the family's 1533-position model. The record is from RNAcentral.